GCCCGGCUGGCUCAGUGGGUAGAGCACGAGGCUCUUAAUUUCUGGAUCGUGGGUUCGUGCCCCACGUUGGGCG
This 73-nucleotide transfer RNA is filed under the name Araneus ventricosus. It matches the Rfam family "tRNA". Rfam says of the family: Transfer RNA (tRNA) molecules are approximately 80 nucleotides in length. Their secondary structure includes four short double-helical elements and three loops (D, anti-codon, and T loops). The record is from Rfam by way of RNAcentral. Lineage: Eukaryota; Metazoa; Arthropoda; Arachnida; Araneae; Araneidae.